GUAUUCAGCGUUGUCGACGGCAAAAUGGGAUACUGCGAGCAAGGUGCAUUUGGCCCCGAAGGCCAGUUUUUCGGUGUGGUCUCCAAGUGUGUUGCCGUUAAGGAUGGUAACUCUGCAGAUCUCUGGUGAAAGACCUCUGGUGAACGGAAGACCCCCCUGCUCUCCUCUGAUGUGCAGAUGCUUCGACUGCACCCCCCAUCUCUGCUGGGGAAGAAACCGCUUUGCUUGAUGCUGCUGAAGGCGAUUCUGGGAAGGGGUCAAUUGGGACCUAUCCUGUCUGCCUGUCUACUCAUGAGUAAGCCCAAUUGUUCCGAAUGGGGCCUGACUCCUUAGUAAGUGGGCUUGGGCUUGGAGCUUGGAUUUGGUUUGCCUGCAAAACUGCUUUAGCUUCUUCUUUUUAAUAAAUGCAAGCAUUGGAAAC
Molecule: long non-coding RNA, 421 nt
Organism: Lacerta agilis (Sand lizard)
Lineage: Eukaryota; Metazoa; Chordata; Lepidosauria; Squamata; Lacertidae
Exons: 2
Source: RefSeq, a predicted model, not a curated record